GCACCCUUAGCUCAGCUGGAUAGAGCGUCUGACUACGAAUCAGAAGGUCGGGAGUUCGAAUCUCUCAGGGUGCG
RNAcentral lists this transfer RNA (74 nucleotides) under bacterium. RNAcentral describes it as "tRNA-Arg". It matches the Rfam family "tRNA". Rfam says of the family: Transfer RNA (tRNA) molecules are approximately 80 nucleotides in length. Their secondary structure includes four short double-helical elements and three loops (D, anti-codon, and T loops). The record is from RNAcentral.